This 753-nucleotide unclassified non-coding RNA is filed under the name Saccharomyces cerevisiae (brewer's yeast). RNAcentral describes it as "partial contains ITS1, 5.8S rRNA and ITS2". The stretch from base 363 to 516 matches the Rfam family "5.8S ribosomal RNA". Lineage: Eukaryota; Fungi; Ascomycota; Saccharomycetes; Saccharomycetales; Saccharomycetaceae. The record is from RNAcentral.
AAGAAAUUUAAUAAUUUUGAAAAUGGAUUUUUUUGUUUUGGCAAGAGCAUGAGAGCUUUUACUGGGCAAGAAGACAAGAGAUGGAGAGUCCAGCCGGGCCUGCGCUUAAGUGCGCGGUCUUGCUAGGCUUGUAAGUUUCUUUCUUGCUAUUCCAAACGGUGAGAGAUUUCUGUGCUUUUGUUAUAGGACAAUUAAAACCGUUUCAAUACAACACACUGUGGAGUUUUCAUAUCUUUGCAACUUUUUCUUUGGGCAUUCGAGCAAUCGGGGCCCAAAGGUAACAAACACAAACAAUUUUAUUUAUUCAUUAAAUUUUUGUCAAAAACAAGAAUUUUCGUAACUGGAAAUUUUAAAAUAUUAAAAACUUUCAACAACGGAUCUCUUGGUUCUCGCAUCGAUGAAGAACGCAGCGAAAUGCGAUACGUAAUGUGAAUUGCAGAAUUCCGUGAAUCAUCGAAUCUUUGAACGCACAUUGCGCCCCUUGGUAUUCCAGGGGGCAUGCCUGUUUGAGCGUCAUUUCCUUCUCAAACAUUCUGUUUGGUAGUGAGUGAUACUCUUUGGAGUUAACUUGAAAUUGCUGGCCUUUUCAUUGGAUGUUUUUUUUUCCAAAGAGAGGUUUCUCUGCGUGCUUGAGGUAUAAUGCAAGUACGGUCGUUUUAGGUUUUACCAACUGCGGCUAAUCUUUUUUAUACUGAGCGUAUUGGAACGUUAUCGAUAAGAAGAGAGCGUCUAGGCGAACAAUGUUCUUAAAGU